Molecule: transfer RNA, 75 nt
Filed under: Sphaerodactylus townsendi
Lineage: Eukaryota; Metazoa; Chordata; Lepidosauria; Squamata; Sphaerodactylidae
Description: tRNA-Ala
Rfam family: tRNA
About the family: Transfer RNA (tRNA) molecules are approximately 80 nucleotides in length. Their secondary structure includes four short double-helical elements and three loops (D, anti-codon, and T loops). Further hydrogen bonds mediate the characteristic L-shaped molecular structure. tRNAs have two regions of fundamental functional importance: the anti-codon, which is responsible for specific mRNA codon recognition, and the 3' end, to which the tRNAs corresponding amino acid is attached (by aminoacyl-tRNA synthetases). tRNAs cope with the degeneracy of the genetic code in two manners: having more than one tRNA (with a specific anti-codon) for a particular amino acid; and 'wobble' base-pairing, i.e. permitting non-standard base-pairing at the 3rd anti-codon position.
Source: RNAcentral
UGAGAGGUCAUGGCUCAGUGGUACAGCAUCUGCUUGGCAUGCAGAAGGCCACAGGUUCAAUUCCCAGCCUCUCCA